Molecule: ribosomal RNA, 743 nt
Filed under: uncultured bacterium
Lineage: Bacteria
Description: bacterial SSU rRNA
Rfam family: Bacterial small subunit ribosomal RNA
Source: RNAcentral
GAUGAACGCUGGCGGCGUGCUUAACACAUGCAAGUCGAACGGAGUUUAAGAAGGAAGCUUGCUUUCAUUUUAAACUUAGUGGCGGACGGGUGAGUAACGCGUGAGGAACCUGCCCUUUAGUGGGGAACAACAACUAGAAAUGGUUGCUAAUACCGCAUAAUGUCGGAGUACCGCAUGACAUUCCGACCAAAGGAUUUAUUCGCUGAAGGAUGGCCUCGCGUCCGAUUAUAUAGUUGGUGAGGUAACGGCCCACCAAGUCUACGAUCGGUAGCCGAACUGAUAGGUUGAUCGGCCACAUUGGGACUGAGACACGGCCCAUACUCCUACGGGAGGCAGCAGUGGGGAAUAUUGGGCAAUGGGCGAAAGCCUGACCCAGCUACGCCGCGUGAAGGAUGACGGUCUUCGGAUUGUAGACUUCUUUAAUUGGGGAAGAACAAAAUGACCUACCCAAAGAAUAAGUCACGGCUAACUACGUGCCAGCAGCCGCGGUAAUACGUAGGUGACAAGCGUUAUCCGGAUUUACUGGGCGUAAAGGGCGUGUAGGCGGUCUUGCAAGUCAGAAGUGAAAUUCCUGAGCUCAACUCGGGCGCUGCUUCUGAAACUGCAGGACUUGAGUGCUGGAGGGGAUAGCGGAAUUCCUAGUGGAGCGGUAAAAUGCGCAGAUAUUAGGAAGAACACCGGUGGCGAAGGCGGCUAUCUGGACAGUAACUGACGCUGAGGCGCGAAAGCGUGGGGAGCAAACA